This 195-nucleotide unclassified non-coding RNA is filed under the name Metazoa environmental sample. RNAcentral describes it as "sequence contains 5.8S rRNA gene, ITS2, 28S rRNA gene". Lineage: Eukaryota; Metazoa. The record is from RNAcentral.
AACGCAGGCCGCGCCUUGCAUAUCACUUGUGUUAUCGCAAGGCAUCUACGUAUGAGUGUCAGCCUAUCAUCCUUUUGGUUUAAUAAUAAUAUUAUUUAUUAUUGAAUCCAUUAUGCGAGUAUCAUUUAUUUGAUACACGCGUUUAACAAAGUUUGUGUCUGGCCUCAUAUGUGGAAGGUUACCCGCUGGAUUUAA